RNAcentral lists this ribosomal RNA (384 nucleotides) under Triticum aestivum (bread wheat). RNAcentral's name for it is "partial small subunit ribosomal RNA". The record is from RNAcentral. Lineage: Eukaryota; Viridiplantae; Streptophyta; Magnoliopsida; Poales; Poaceae.
AUGAGCAACCUUCUUGGGAAAUUGGUUCAGUGCUGGACGACAUUGUUGGGUGCUGAUGGUGAUGCAGUUGCCAGUAAUUUCAUUUCUUUAGUUGGAGAACGCACAUAUCAUCCAACUGGUUGCCAUGGCUGGCACGAUGACAACAAUUCUCAGGAGCUCCGCAAUACCCAAGAGGAGUUGUUCAGUGUUGGAUCUGGUGGUGAUGGUGCUAGUCUUUACAAGGAAGAAGACAAUAGAUGGAGAAUGUGCACCAGGACAUUGGCCAUGAUCAAUCUCGGGAAAUUCAAGAUGGAUCUCCUACUGACAAGGCUUCACCAAUUGUUCCCCCAUCCAGGAGACAAAAUUCUUCCAGUGUCGCGAGUGACACCAGUGUUUCUACUUUGA